UACUACUUCUAAACUGCAUGAGGACUUAUUUUACUCACAACAAAGUUUGAAACCUGAGGCAGUAUCAGAUUAUUCAUCAGAUGAACUUUAAUGCUAUACAGUAAAAGUUUUACUUCCUAAUAUAAAUUGUUGGCCUGCAGAUACAAGUAACAAAUAAUAGGUCACUGGGUUUGCCUGCGAUAAGCAAGAACUUGUAGUAAAAUGUAUUUUUAAAAAUUGAGUUUAACUACAUAUAUACCCGGGAAGGAAAAAAAAAAGACAAGUAAAUUUUGCUGCUUCUUGGCAAGGUUGCUCUAGAAUAAUCUGAUGCCAUGGCACAAUCACAAUUUUAUUAAGAUGAGAAAAUUGCUACAAUUCAGUUCUAAGUGCCAUGUUUGGAUCCUAACAAAAGAGCCUGUGCCAAACAAAUGACCAGAAGGGCAAUUCUGAUUAAAACUAUUAUUUCACUACAAAAAUGAGUUGUGACUGAGAAGAACUGUUCUACCAUUUAUAUAUAAUACUUUUAUGUGUAUACACAUACACACACACACACACACACACACACACACACACAAUACUUUCUUGGCUACAAAUUUAAUAAGUGUUCAGAAAAAUAUCCCAAAGAUACUAAAUCGGGGCAAGAGAAUUAUUUCCAAGAUUUUGGGUAGGACCAUAUUUUAUUUCUAAAGCUUCAGAUAGAUAUCUAUGGCUAUUAAAUGAGCCUGUAAGAAUCCCAGGUCUCCCUCCAGCUACCAGCCCUCCUCCCUCCUGUCUUGAAUAGUUCAAGUCACCAUUCCCCAACGGAAUCUACAGUAAAUUCCUAUCAACCUUCUUUCAGUUCUACAAGCACACUGGGCUCUCAGUACACAACACCAAGGUCAGCCCCAUCUUCCCUCCUCCUACAGUUCCUGCUUGCUCAUCUACUAGGGUAAGUGCCCCUAAGUACACAACACCUGUGGACCUGCCACUUUAUUAACUGUUUAAUGAUCGCUCUCCCCGGCUGAUUGAAAGUCAUGUGGCCAAUGAUCUUAUGUGUCUCGCUUACCGUAGUGUAUCCCCACUCCCUGACACAGUGCCUAGUGUAGAGCCGGAAGCUCAGUGAAUAUUUAUUGAAUGUAUGAAAGACUUCUCGGUUGCUCAGCCAAAAUUAUUGCCCAUAACCAGAAUGUAAACUUUCAAGGCCAGAAACUACCUAAUACUUGGUGCAGGCCUGGCUCUACCCCUGGCAUAGAGAUGGAACUCAAGAAAUGACUGAUAGUUCAAUAAAAGAUAACAAUUCAAUGACCUAAACAAUUUUUUAUUUUAAAAAGUAACUUUUAGGGCUUUAAUAUUAAGCUAAAAAUAUUAUUAAAUUUGCUUAAUGAUCUAAUUUCUGUUUUUGAGCUUAAAUAAGAAAAUAUCAAAACCAUUUUAAUCUAAGUUAGAAGUUUUGUAAGUCACUAGUAGUUUGAGACAAUGGUAUUGCUUUAUUAAAUAUCAUCAUCAUCAUCAUCAUCAAGCACUAGAGCGUUGUUGCAAGAAACAGAAGGAAUAUUUUGAGAGAAAGAUCUCAAGACCCGAUUAAGAAUUUGGCUACCAGAAGAAAGGGACAGAAAAGAAGGGACAUAAAAGGCAAAAUGGUGAAAGAUAGGAUAUAGUGAGGGUUAGAAGGAGUUCAGCCUUUUGAUCAGUGAGAUGCUGUCCUCACCAGCAUAGGUGGAAAGCUGUGGAUUGGUUAGAUUGGGAAUGGGAAGACUGAGAACAGAGCCUCAAUAAAUUGAGUAUUUAAAUUUAAGAAGCCAAUAAAACAUCUGAUUUGACGUGUCCUUAAGAAAAGUAGUGAUAAUAAGAAUUACAGCAAAGAUGGGUCAGCACUAGCAAACAGUGACAGGUGGAGACAAAUAUGAUCAGUGCUGAGACAAAAUAACAGGUGUAUACAGGGAAGGAAGUGCUCUGAAAGCAGAGGGCCAAUUGCAGAGGUAAGAAGUUAAGCCAGUCAAAGAAAUUCUAGAAGCCAAGAUCAAAAAAGGUGCUAAGAGAAAGGGCAGGGUACCCUGGCAAAGACAUCUAAAUGGUCCUAGACUAUAAGCACUGAACCAAAGAUUGUAAACAAUUAGGCAGAGUAAUCUGACCAGUAUAGACAACAGUAGAAAUACUACCUCAUUGCGAGAACAUGCUGUUUCUAAUCAAUUCUGGCACUGUUACUUAGUGAAGUUCUUCAUGAACUCCAAACUUACUUCAAGAGACCCAGCUCCCAUCACUGCCCUAUGAUGCUCUUUUGUAAUCUACACAAUUGGCCUAGAUGUUGAGAAUUGCCUAUAAAAGUGUUCACACUAAUCCCAGCUUCUAUGGUCUCAAUUUAAUCUCAACAAUUUUGUCUUUCAGCAAGUUGCUUAUAUCCAUCAUGUAACUUCAUAUUGUUUUAUUACUUAAACAAAAGGUAAGACCUUUUAUUUUUAAAACCUUCUUUUUUUUUUUUUUUUUUUUUUUUUUGAGGUCAAUUCUUCCCUAAUCCAAACACUGUAAUUUCUGUUUUCCAAAUGACUCACAACAUCAGUGGCUACUGUUUCUGGAAGUUUGGAGGUUAGUAUAGGACAAAUGUGUUCUUGACACUGUCAGUUUGUAAGAGAUUUCUGCUUCCUUUCUUUUUACUGUAAUGAGUUUGCAAGAUGGCUCCCCAAGUGGCAACAGGUCUUUGUGCCUGCCAUAUCCCAUUGCAACCUUAUACCUGCUUUGCUGUCUGAUAGCACAUUGGCUCCCUUUCAGCAUUACUAAGCAUUUUCUCCCAUUGAAUAUCUCUUUCAGAUUACUUGCCCUUAGAUGUAUUAUCUUACUGUUUCCUGUGAUACUUUCAAAUCUUUUUAAGCAUCUUUGAGGUACUUCUCUUAUUUCGCUAUUUGAGAUACUUCCCAAUUUACUAUCACCUAUAAAACCGGUGGGCAUACUGUUCAUUUCCGAUUUUAGAUUUUUAAGGAAGAUGCCAAGGAAAACUAGGGGAUAUGCCUCCAUGAAGCUACAUUUUUCAUCGUCAGAAGAAUGAAUUUAAAUAAAAGUUGCAAGCCAUCACGUUGCUAGUAAAGCUGCACUGUUUACUUAGGACACAAACCGUAUGCUCCGUUUUGUGACUAGCUUUAAACAAAAGUUAAAAUGAUUCUUCAGCAGCUUGUAUUUCGUUUAAUAUGUAUACUUGGUUCAUUUUCACUCAUUCUUUUCUGCGGGAUUGAGUUAAUGUAGAAGAAAGGACUUUUUUUAAAAAGCAAAAGUAACUUUUUGUUUAAAUUUCAAACCUUAAGUACAUUUAACAUUUUUAAAUUCACAUGGCUUUGGUUCUCCAGUAAUUGUAAAACUGUCAUUGGUUUUACUUAACUCUAAGGCACCUUAACUAAACAGCAAUAACCCAUUCAAGUAUUUUACAUUUACCUCACUGUAUUUAUGGGAGUUACAUUUUUUCCUACUGUGCUGUUUGUAAUUUUCUUUUGCCUGUACUCAAAACAUAUUUUAAAAUAUAAUUUGGCUAGGGAAUUUCAGGGUAUUUAUUUCCUAAAUACUGGGCUCACAUAAACAUAAGGCCGGUUUUAUAUCCUUGCUUAUUUAAUAUCACUCUAGUUUUCUCUAAUUUCUUUGGAUAGUACCAACUUAAAAGCAACUUAAUCAAAUAAAAUUUCUAAGAAUCAAGUCGAUGUUAUUCAAUGCGUUUUUAGUUAAAUUCUGUUAAAUCUUAAUUUUCAGAGUAUGUUUCUGACUUCAGAAUCUUUCAAGGAAACACAUUCUAAUCCAACUCAGGACUUUGCCUAUUCGUCACCUUACACUAGGUUUUCAUUUAUGUAAGAAGAAGAGAGAGAAAGGCCAAGGGAAUAGUAGAAUACUUUGGCCAUAUGAAUUCUCACUCAAGUUUAAAGAGGAAACAAAAUAUUCAAUGUGACUCGAACUCUGGAGAAAUCAAAGACAGAGCACGAGCAGGGGAGGGGCAGAGAGAGGGAGACACAGAAUCC
This is a long non-coding RNA of Herpailurus yagouaroundi (jaguarundi), 3950 nucleotides long. RefSeq lists it as uncharacterized. NCBI's taxonomy places the organism in Eukaryota, Metazoa, Chordata, Mammalia, Carnivora, Felidae. The record is from RefSeq and is a predicted model, not a curated record. The transcript is spliced from 3 exons.